GAUGAAGAACGUAGCGAAAUGCGAUACUUGGUGUGAAUUGCAGAAUCCCGUGAACCAUCGAGUCUUUGAACGCAAGUUGCGCCCGAAGCCACUAGGCCGAGGGCACGCCUGCCUGGGCGUCACACGUCGUUGCCCCCCCCCCAUCUACUCCUUCGGGAUUGCGGGGGGCGGAUGAUGGCCCCCCGUGCGCCUAGCCGCGCGGUUGGCAUAAAUACCAAGUCCUCGGCGACGCACGCCACGACAAUCGGUGGUUGCGAAACCUCGGUUGCCCGUCGUGUGCGUUCGUCGCGCAUCGAGGGCUCGAAAAAAUGCUCAGCUCCGGCUCGGCUUUCAACGCGGCCCCAGGUCAGGCGGGGUUACCCGCUGAAUUUAAGCAUAUCAAUAAGCGGAGGA
Molecule: unclassified non-coding RNA, 393 nt
Filed under: soil metagenome
Description: partial contains 5.8S ribosomal RNA, internal transcribed spacer 2, and large subunit ribosomal RNA
Rfam family: 5.8S ribosomal RNA (bases 1-122)
Source: RNAcentral